This 467-nucleotide ribosomal RNA is filed under the name uncultured bacterium. RNAcentral's name for it is "partial 16S ribosomal RNA". It matches the Rfam family "Bacterial small subunit ribosomal RNA", at positions 28 to 507 of the family's 1533-position model. The record is from RNAcentral.
GAUGAACGCUGGCGGCGUGCUUAACACAUGCGAGUCGAACGGAAAGGCCAGUGCUUGCACUGGUGCUCGAGUGGCGAACGGGUGAGUAACACGUGGGUGAUCUGCCCUGCACUUUGGGAUAAGCCUGGGAAACUGGGUCUAAUACCAGAUAGGACCAUGCUUUGGAUGGUGUGGUGGAAAGUUUUUUCGGUGUGGGAUGAGCUUGCGGCCUAUCAGCUUGUUGGUGGGGUAAUGGCCUACCAAGGCGUCGACGGGUAGCCGGCCUGAGAGGGUGUACGGCCACAUUGGGACUGAGAUACGGCCCAGACUCCUACGGGAGGCAGCAGUGGGGAAUAUUGCACAAUGGGCGCAAGCCUGAUGCAGCGACGCCGCGUGGGGGAUGACGGCCUUCGGGUUGUAAACUCCUUUCGCAACUGACGAAGCUUUUUGUGACGGUGGGUUGAGAAGAAGCACCGGCUAACUACGUG